Homo sapiens (human) is the source of this 1427-nucleotide long non-coding RNA. The record is from Ensembl. NCBI's taxonomy places the organism in Eukaryota, Metazoa, Chordata, Mammalia, Primates, Hominidae.
GCAGGCAACCCACUCAGAUUUUUUUCCGUGGUGUGGAAGCUUGUUCUUUCAUUCUUGGCAAUAAAUCUCGCUGUUGUUCGCUCUUUGGGUCCGCGCUGCCCUUAUGAGCUGUAACACUCACCGUGAAGGUCUGCAGCUUCACCUCUGAAGCCAGCAAGACCACAAACUCACUGGAAAGAACAAACAACUCUGGAUGUACUGCCUUUAAGAGCUGUAACACUCACUGCAGAGGUCUGCAGCUUCACUCCUGAAAUCAGCAAGACCACGAACCCACCAGAAGGAAGAAACUCUGGACACAUGUGAGUAUCUGAAGGAACAAACUCCGGACACGCCAUCUUUAAGAACUGCAACACUCACCACGAGGGUCAGCGGCUUCAUUCUUGAAGUCAGCGAGACCAGGAACCCACCAAUUCUGGACACAAUAUGGAUGAAUCUCAGAAACAUGAUGUUCAGCAAAAGAAGCCAGACAUAUAGGGCGCUUGCUGUACAAAUUUUAUUUACAAAAACAGGUGAAAGUGGUAGUGACCAGAAGUUGGCAUGAGGGGGCUUUUGGGUGCUGGCCGUGUUCGUUUGAGUUCUGUUCACGAGGAGGUUCCAUAUGAAUAUAACUUCUUGCCUAAGUUGGUUUAGGUAAGAAGACUCUUCAUGUGCCUGUUUCCUUCAAAUUUUAAGGAGAGCUCUUGCAUGGUGGUAGAACCGAGGACAGCCUAGACCUUCUGAUUGUCAACUCCUUGUUCCAUUGUGUCCAAACCUACAUGUCUGAACUCCUCUCAUCAAAGACUUCUCAAAGUUAUUAAUAACUGGGGAUCACGUAUUCAGUAAUUACACACAUCAGGCUCCAUGCUUUCUGUGCAGUAUGUAAAUUGAUUCAUUGUCAUACUAAUUAUAAAUGGCUAGUAUUAUUGCUGCUUUACAAAUGAGGCAUAUGACACACAGGGAGCUAAAUAAUUUGCCUAAGGUCACCCCACUUGUAAAUGAUGAAGCCAGGACUCAAGGCCAGGUCUGGCCACCCCUGAAUUUAAUAGCUUUAUCCUCUAUAUCUCUGUUUUCUCCCAGACCAAGGUGUCUGUACCUCUCUGCCAACAGAGAAAAGGGUUCAUUCAUUCAUCAAAUGUUUGUUGAGCAUCUAUUGUGACUCAGGCAAUAUCCUAGAUCAAGGAUUGUCAAACUUUUUCUAUAAAGGACAAGAGAGCAAACAUUUUAGGUCUCCUGGGUCAUACGGUCAGUCACUGUGAUUCAACUCUGCUGUUGUAGUACAAGAUUGUGAAAGCAGCCAUAGAUGAUAUGUCAAUGAAUGAGCAUGGUUGUGUUCCAAUAAAAUGUCACUUGCGAAAGCAGGCUGUGGGCUGGGUUUGGGCCAAGAGUUCUAUCCCUGCUCUAGGCACUGGAGUUACAAUAGCAAAAAAUUAAAAUAAAGUAAAAUAAAA